UUGUAUAUACUGCUCACAGAGAUACCCAUAGAUCAAACUCGCAAAAGUGCAUUUGAACAAAGGGCUUAAACACUCAAAUAAUUAAAUUGCAGGCUUUCCUAUUGAUGUAAAAGACAUAUUAUUUUUGCUUAAACCUAAUAGUCAAUGGAUUAUGAAAUUUAAUACCAUUAAAUGUACCACCUGGAAAAAAAAGUUGAUAAUCUAUGAUGCAUGCUCAGGAAUAAUUCUAUACAGCAUAUAUAUUGGUCACAGUAACUUUUGGAAACUUUGAAAUGUAUUGAAUAUAUUCCAAGUGAGUUGUCUUGUUCUUUUUUUUUUUUCUUCCCCACAUGGUUUUCAGCUGAUAGGCAGCCAUUUUGUGCCUAUCCCAGUUGGCAAAUAUAACACAAUUUGAUCUCUUUCCAUUCUUAGAAACAAUGAAGCCCUUUGUUUUUGCCUUUCAAGACGAUAAAUGGAAUUGCAGUCAUUCCUCCAGUGGCUAAUACCUGCCAGCAGAUCCUGAAAGAUGUCAUUGAUUUCUAGAUGUAUCCUGAUUUCAAGUGCAGAUUUCUUCAAAAGUGUGGCUACCCGACAUAAACAUCCUCUACCCAGAUUCCAUCUGAAGUGCUGAAAGAUGAAAAGUAUAUGGGCUUUGGUGCUUGGCAGAACUGAGUCCUCUUUCCAGCAAUGACCUUAGCUCACAUACGUUUUCUAUUCUGUAAAAUAAAGGCAAUAAAACAGGAA
Long non-coding RNA from Homo sapiens (human), 723 nucleotides. RefSeq lists it as uncharacterized. The record is from RefSeq and is a predicted model, not a curated record. The transcript has 2 exons. NCBI's taxonomy places the organism in Eukaryota, Metazoa, Chordata, Mammalia, Primates, Hominidae.